UCCAUGAUCAUUCGUCUUAUUUGAAAAAAUUUACGAUUAAUAUAUUUAUUCUUACCAGAUGAUAAAACAUGAAUAAUACCAUAUGCGGGACUAAUUUUUUAAGUAUUUAUAUAAAUUUUUUAAAUAAGACGAAUGGUCAAACGUUGGGCA
RNAcentral lists this microRNA precursor (150 nucleotides) under Oryza brachyantha (malo sina). RNAcentral describes it as "MIR812 microRNA precursor family". It matches the Rfam family "MIR812 microRNA precursor family", at positions 27 to 181 of the family's 205-position model. The record is from Rfam by way of RNAcentral. Lineage: Eukaryota; Viridiplantae; Streptophyta; Magnoliopsida; Poales; Poaceae.